RNAcentral lists this ribosomal RNA (93 nucleotides) under Vibrio rotiferianus. The record is from RNAcentral. Lineage: Bacteria; Pseudomonadati; Pseudomonadota; Gammaproteobacteria; Vibrionales; Vibrionaceae.
CCACCUGACUUCCAUUCCGAACUCAGAAGUGAAACGAAUUAGCGCCGAUGGUAGUGUGGGGCUUCCCCAUGUGAGAGUAGGACAUCGCCAGGC